Peromyscus leucopus (white-footed mouse) is the source of this 867-nucleotide long non-coding RNA. RefSeq lists it as uncharacterized. The transcript has 2 exons. NCBI's taxonomy places the organism in Eukaryota, Metazoa, Chordata, Mammalia, Rodentia, Cricetidae. The record is from RefSeq and is a predicted model, not a curated record.
UGUGCCCUCAUAGUCAAGAAGAGUGCCAGCCCACAGUAGGACCUAUGUGAAUAUAAGUUAAACUUCUGAGUGACUUAUAGAAAAAUGCAGAUCUACAAACAAAAUGUGGUAAGGAUGCACCACAUAUGAUAACCUCAUUCAGUUCUGGGAAAGGAUUGGAAAGAGCAUGUCCCAUGCAUCAGCCCUGGCAACAGCCACUGUGCAUCUUUGGCCUGGAAAAAAAAAAAAAACCUACACAUCUCAAUAACAAUGGGAUCAAUUUUGACAUUAACACGAAUAUUACCAAAGCCCAAGAGAUACAUUGAAAUUCACAGAGCUCUGCGGCAGAUAAUAUAAAAGCUCCAACCUGCUCUCUAGAAACAAGAAACUUUCAUUUAUGGCUUCCCAGCUCUUGCUAAUCCUGCCCAUUAGGCCAAAAUAUUGCAUUUUACACAGGAUGCAAGAUCAUACCAGAGACUGAUGUAAUACUUAGGCAGAAAACCAGCUGGCAGGCCCAACCGCGCAAUCCCCUUUAUUCAGAAGACACAAAUCAAACCCAGGAUGCCUUUUUUGACAGAUUCCUGCAUGUUCCUCAUUAUGGAUAGAUGAGAGAAGACAUCUCCACGUUCUGGGGCGCAAGGCUCACUCCCGGCAUUUGCAUACCCAGUCAUUUGUAAACGGAGAGAAACACAUCCCCGCAUUUGCCCAGAGGUAGCUGUUUACUCAGAAAGGUGACUUGUGACAUUGACAAUCAUGUCAGUUUCCCAUCUGCAUAAUUUAAGGUGGAAUAUUAAGAAUUUUCGAGCGUGUCCCUGGCUGCCUUACCCUAUCCCAAAGAUGUCUAUGCUAAGAAGCCAAAAUAAAGAGACGUCAUGUAGACCAUUAGCA